Molecule: ribosomal RNA, 400 nt
Filed under: uncultured bacterium
Lineage: Bacteria
Description: bacterial SSU rRNA
Rfam family: Bacterial small subunit ribosomal RNA
Source: RNAcentral
UGGGGAAUAUUGCGCAAUGGAGGCAACUCUGACGCAGCAAUGCCGCGUGAGUGAAGAAGGGAUUCGUUCUGUAAAGCUCUGUUAUCGGGGAAGAGGAAGACGGUACCCGAUGAGCAAGCCCCAGCCAACUACGUGCCAGCAGCUGCGGUAAUACGUAGGGGGCGAGCGUUAUCCGGAUUUAUUGGGCGUAAAGGGCACGCAGGCGGCUGUUUAGGUGUGAUGUGAAAGCCCGGGGCUUAACCCUGAGGUAGCAUUGCAAACCGGGCAGCUAGAGUGAGGUAGAGGCAGACAGAAUUUCUGGUGUAGCGGUGAAAUGCGCAGAGAUCAGGAGGAAUACCGGAGGCGAAGGCGGUCUGCCGGGCCUUUACUGACGCUGAGGUGCGAAAGCGUGGGGAGCGAA